UACGUAGGGGGCAAGCGUUGUCCGGAAUCAUUGGGCGUAAAGCGCAUGUAGGCGGUCCGGUAAGUCCGCUGUGAAAGUCGGGGGCUCAACCCUCGGAUGCCGGUGGAUACUGUCGGGCUUGAGUACGGAAGAGGCGAGUGGAAUUCCUGGUGUAGCGGUGAAAUGCGCAGAUAUCGGGAAGAACACCCGUGGCGAAGGCGGCUCUCUGGGACGGUACUGACGCUGAGACGCGAAAGCGUGGGGAGCGAACAGG
Molecule: ribosomal RNA, 253 nt
Filed under: uncultured bacterium
Lineage: Bacteria
Description: partial 16S ribosomal RNA
Rfam family: Bacterial small subunit ribosomal RNA
Source: RNAcentral